RNAcentral lists this long non-coding RNA (1625 nucleotides) under Nicotiana tabacum (common tobacco). RNAcentral describes it as "long non-coding RNA (NTAB_LNC001202)". Lineage: Eukaryota; Viridiplantae; Streptophyta; Magnoliopsida; Solanales; Solanaceae. The record is from RNAcentral.
GGUUGAAUUCCGUUUUGGAAGCAAAGAUGAUCCGCCAUAUCAUUUAGUUUUACAAAGUUAGACUGUCGCCAAAAAACACUGCAUAAUAGUACUUAAUCAAGCUUACACAACACUUGAAGUUUAUUACAGGAUCUUCAUACCUGUCUACUCAUAGUAAAAGAACAGAAAGAAAUAUUGAUCUUUAUAGCUGUUCUGGUGAGACAACGGUAAGAAACACACCAGACCUUUAUUGAUUAAGGAACAACUAGCGACUAAAUGCAGCUCUUAUGGUGUACAGGAGGUACGUGGUAGCAAUGGGCCAUGGUACGUAGAAGGUGGCAGGUUUGUUGGUGGGGUGGAUGGUCUAGUUUAUGGAGUACUAAGCAGAAGCCCAUAUGGAGGAGGAGAAGGGGGUGAAUAUGUAGUUGGUGGUGAUGGUGGUUGGCCAUAAGUAGGUGUAGGUGGUCGUGGCUGCCUAUGAGGAGGAGGCGGCGAGUGAAUUUGUCUUGGCGGAGGAGCAGAGAAAGUCGGUGGUGAUGGUGGCUGGCCAUAAGUAGGUGUAGGUGUUCGUGGCUGCCAAUGAGGAGGAGGCGGUGAGUGAAUUUGUCUUGGCGGAGGAGGAGAGAAAGUCGGUGGUGAUGGUGGCUGGCCAUAAGUAGGUGUAGGUGGCCGUGGCUGCCUAUGAGGAGGAGGAGGCAAGUGAAUUCGUCUUGGCGGAGGAGGAGAGAAAGUCGGUGGUAGUGGCUGCACUUGGGGAGGCGGAGGCGAGUAAAUUGGUGAUGGUGGCGGUGGUGAGUAUGCAGGUGGAGGAGGUGAGUAUGUUGGUGGAGGUGGUGGUGGUUGUGCAUAUGCAGGGGGAGGAGGCGAGUAUGUAGGUGGAGGAGGAGAAUACGUUGGCGGUGGUGGUGGUGAGUAUGCAGGUGGAGGAGGCGAGUAUGUUGGUGGAAGCGGUGGUGGUUGUGCAUAUGUAGGGGGAGGAGGCGAGUAUGUAGGUGGAGGAGGAGAAUAUGUUGGUGGUGCAGGCAAAGGAGGGGAAUACGCUGGUGGAGGUGGAGGUGAUUGUCCAUAUGUGGGUGGAGGUGGCGAGAAGGAUGGUGGUGGUGGAGGAGGUGAGUAAAUUGGUGAUGAUGGCGGUGGUGGUGGCAAAUAUGUAGGUGGAGGAGGGGAAUAUGAUGGUGGUGGCGGUGGUGAGUAUACGGGCGGAGGAGGCGAGUAAAUUGGUGAUGAUGGCAGUGGCAAAUAUGUAGGUGGAGGAGGGGAGUACGUUGGUGGUGGUGAGUAUGCUGGAGGAGGAGGCGAGAAAGUUGGUGUUGGUGGUGGAGAUGGUGAGUAUGCAGGUGGAGGAGGCGAGUAAAUUGGUGAUGGUGGUGGUGGAGAGUAUGUAGGUGGAGGAGGCGAGUACGUUGGUGAGGGUUGGGGUGAUUGUGCAUAUGCAGGUGGAGGAGGUGAGUAAGUUGGUGGUUGUGGCUGCCUACGGGGAGAAGGUGGUAGAUGUCUUAGGGGUGAAGGUUGAUGAGUAGGUGGUGCAUGUCGAUGAGUAGGUGGUGCAUGUCGAUGAGUGGGUGGUUGUGGUUGAUGUCCACGUGAAGGUGGUGAUGGUGUUGGUUGUACGUGUGUAGGUGGAGGAGGUGAGUAAGUCGGUGGUG